CGCGGCCUAUCAGCUUGUUGGUGGGGUAAUGGCCUACCAAGGCGGCGACGGGUAGCCAGCCUGAGAGGGUGUACGGCCACAUUGGGACUGAGAUACGGCCCAGACUCCUACGGGAGGCAGCAGUGGGGAAUAUUGCACAAUGGGCGCAAGCCUGAUGCAGCGACGCCGCGUGGGGGAUGAAGGCCUUCGGGUUGUAAACUCCUUUCGCUAGGGACGAAGCUUUGUUGUGACGGUACCUAGAUAAGAAGCACCGGCUAACUACGUGCCAGCAGCCGCGGUAAUACGUAGGGUGCGAGCGUUGUCCGGAAUUACUGGGCGUAAAGGGCUCGUAGGUGGUUUGUCGCGUCGUCUGUGAAAUUCUGGGGCUUAACUCCGGGCGUGCAGGCGAUACGGGCAUAACUUGAGUGCUGUAGGGGUAACUGGAAUUCCUGGUGUAGCGGUGAAAUGCGCAGAUAUCAGGAGGAACACCGAUGGCGAAGGCAGGUUACUGGGCAGUUACUGACGCUGAGGAGCGAAAGCAUGGGUAGCGAACAGGAUUAGACACCCUGGUAGUCCAUGCCGUAAACGGUGGGCGCUAGGUGUGAGGGUCUUUCUACGACUUUCGUGCCGUAGCUAACGCAUUAAGCGCCCCGCCUGGGGAGUACGG
RNAcentral lists this ribosomal RNA (646 nucleotides) under uncultured bacterium. RNAcentral's name for it is "bacterial SSU rRNA". It matches the Rfam family "Bacterial small subunit ribosomal RNA", at positions 232 to 885 of the family's 1533-position model. The record is from RNAcentral.